Long non-coding RNA from Mauremys mutica (yellowpond turtle), 2618 nucleotides. RefSeq lists it as uncharacterized. NCBI's taxonomy places the organism in Eukaryota, Metazoa, Chordata, Testudines, Geoemydidae. The transcript has 3 exons. The record is from RefSeq and is a predicted model, not a curated record.
GUUCUAAUCACUUGAAAUGGAAAAUAAGCAGCAGGAUCUAGUCUGCUGCAUGUAACAAAGGGAAAUGAGCCUGUGACCCUUGAAACAUGUCUAAUUUCCUACAGUUUAUGCUUAACGGAUGUAGAAUAAUGGAAGCUAUUUCAACAGGAGACGAUCAGAGGAGUUUUCCUGGCAAGAACACCUAUUGACAGACAAUGGACCACAAGUCACCCCAGCUGAAUUUAAGUCAUUACAAACAAAAUAGGAUGUUGAACACAUCACUAGCAGCCCGCAUAUCCCACAAGCAAAUGGAGAGGCUGAGAUGGCUGUACAGAUAGCCAAGAAAAUAUUGAAGCAGGAAGAUCCAUUCCUUGCUCUUCUGACUACAGAUCAACACCAUUAAUAGCUACUGGCUAUAGCCCACCCCAGCUCCUGGUGGGAAGGUAACACAGGACUACUGUUCCAACCUGGAAAGGAAUCUAGCCUCAAAGUGGCCAGACCUCUGCAGACUACCAAAAUUCCCCUGUCCCCUCAUUCCCCCCCCAAAAAAACCCCAAAACUUAUGAACACUUUCAUAACCGAUGUCACUCUGCUAGAGAAUUACCUAAUCUGGAACCCAGCGACCACGUUUGUGUCAAACUGGAUGGAGGCAAAGGAUGAAGAACUUCAGCUGUUUUAAAGAAAAAGAACUCAUUGCCCAGAUCAUGCACUACCGAGACAGACAGUGGUUUGUUUAACAGAAACUGUUGACAUCUUCAGUUUGUUCCAAAGAGUGAAUAAUUAACUGAGCAAACUCUACAAAGAGUGACUCCUGGAAAACCCAGAAUUAACCCUUGACAAAAUAAAUAGAAUUUGCCAAGCAAACAAGGUCACCCAGUCCCACAGAAGGCUAAGGAAGGUGGACAGAGCUCUGACAUUGUGGAUAUGAUAGAGAAUCCAAAAUACUAAAAGAGAAGAGACCUGUGGCAGAAAUGCAUGCAGAGCUAAGUCAGCGUUCACCACAAACGGCCCAUGCUGUGGCAAACAACGUAAGCCAAGACAAUCCUCAGCACAUGGAAGGAGCUGCAAGAGCCACAAUGGAAUAUAUAACAUUGCAAGAGUCUGCAAGCACCAGCAGAGUGUGCACAGCAUGGACAAAGGGGUUUUUGACAGCACCACUUGCUCAGAGGAAUUGUUCACAGGAGCAAUGCACAAUGGUGCAGCACAAGAUGGGGACUAUCAGACUGAAAACAAAAGGAGUAUUUUAUUAAUUGAAUAUUGAGCAGAGGUGCGCCAGCCAAUGGGUUGCCAGAAACAGUGACAUUAGCACUGAAAGAAAAUCCACAGGCAGUAGAAGUUAAGCAGGGUAAAACUCAGACCUUACAGUGGUAGCAUAUCCCUGCAAAGGAGGCAUGUGAACUAAAUGUAAAGGUGCGUAACAAUUUGGAAAAGAUACAAUUUGUAAUAGUGCCGGGGAAGAGAGUAUCCAUUAUAGGGUUGAAAAUGUGUCCAAACCUUGGUCUUUGUCAAGAGGGUGUACUCAUUGGAGAGGCAGGGGACAAAAUGAUUGAGGACAACUUCCAGGGGCUAGGGAAGCUCUCAAGAGAGAACAGAAGAGAAUUGAAAGGGCCCAACUGCCCCACAACUCAUACCCCUAGAAAGUUCUUCUCAUCCUAAGGCAGUGACUAAAAGAGGAAAUGGAUAGACUUAUUGCUUUGGGGAUCAGUAGAACCACCAAUAGAAUAGGUACACAUUGGUCAUGGUGAAAAAAAUGAUGGACACAAAAGAAUGACAAAUAUGUAAAAAGAGAACAUUUUUCACUAUGAACAUGAGGAGAAAUAUUCUUCUACUCUUGCAGCAGCAGGAUUCUGGCAGGUGCUCUUAGAAAACAGAAUACUUAUCUGUGCACAUUCAAUGCCCCCUUUGGGGAAACAGUGUUUUCAUAGAUUGCCCAUUAGGGCUGUGUUUUGCACCUCAGGUAUUUCACAGAAUAAUACAACAGUAGUUAAUGGUACAGAAGCUACUGAUGUCUACAUAGGUGAUAACUGAUCUGAAGGAAAAGAAUAGCAGAACAUGACCAGAGGCGCUGGGCAGUUUUAGAAAGAGCCAGAGCGACUGAGCUAAAGCUAACCAAACUAAAAAAAGUAAAUUCAGUGUAACAGAAAUAACAUACCUGGAAGAGAAUUUAACACAGCAAGGAAUACAGGUAGAUGAUAGUAAGCUUGAGGCCAUCACCUCCAACAGACAAGAAAGGAGUACAAAGUUUGCUUGGAAUGGUGAACUAUGUAGAGAAAUUUGUGCAUGAAACAGCAGACUGAGAGCACUACUAUAUAAAAAUAUCCAAAGGACAUGGGUUGCAAACCUUUAUAAGGAGUUGAGCAACUGAAGGAGUUAAAGUAGCCCCCAGUUCUAAGGUACUGCACAAAUCUAACUUGAGGUACUGCACAAAUCUAACUUGUCUACAGAUACCUCACAGGAGUGCUUUGGUGCAGUGCUUUUACAACAGUAUGGUCAGAACUUGUGACCAGUUGCUUGUGUUUCAUGAGUGCUAACAAAAUCAGAGUGUCAGUGUGCUAAAACAGAGAAGAAAACUUUGGCCUUACUUCAUGGGUGUGAAAGUUUCAUGUCUUUAUUUAUGAGAUAAUAAAUCACUUAUUGAC